This is a long non-coding RNA of Gallus gallus (chicken), 1107 nucleotides long. The record is from Ensembl. NCBI's taxonomy places the organism in Eukaryota, Metazoa, Chordata, Aves, Galliformes, Phasianidae.
GGUGAACUGCUCAAGCUGAGGUUUCUCCCCGUUCCUUGGAUCCAACUGCUGCUGAGGACCAGCGGGCGCUGCAUGCCAGGAUGCCCCGCUCUGCUCACCAUACCCCCUCGGCUCCAGGGCUGGGAUGCUGCUUCCCAAAGACCCAGCCCGUCACCCUUUCCAUGGUUUAAGUGAGUGUCCAAAGGUCACAGCGAACUCAAGUCCCUGCCCCGUGGCUCACGUCGUCCAGUGAAUAAGCAGUGGGUGUGCGGCACCUGAAUCAAAGCUCCCUCCUGCUGCAGAGCAGAGCACGGGGCAGCACUGGGCUGUGAGCCUGCAGCGCGUGCUCUGCGCCUGGCUGCACCCGGGUGGGAGUGGGGCCACUGGGAUGCUGCCCUGGUGGAUGCUGCCCCGGGGAUAAUACCCUGAGAGAUAACUGCCCCAGGGGAUGCUCUCCCCGAGUGAUGCAGCCCCGAGGGAUGCCCGCCUCAAGGGAUAUUCACCUGAAGAGAUGUUUACCCUGAGGGAUGCUCACCCCAAGGGAUGCUGCCCCAAGGGCCGCCCCAGCCCCAUCACCUCCCCCGCGGGGCGUUUCAGUCUUGCAGCCACCACAGCUGUGUGCAAUGCUCUGAGCACUGUCAGCUGCAGCCGACGAGGGGAAGAUGUGAUGGAGCGGAGUGUCGCAAGGGGCAGGGGCACAGCUGGGGCUGAUGACGGGGAGCAAAGGUGCUCAUCCCAGGGGCAGGCGGUGGGGCCGCUGCCCGGCGCUUCCCGCUUAGCCCUGGAUCCGCUCCAGCGCGCGUGAGCAGCACGAGCCCGUGGGGAGCGCCGGGAGGCGCCGCUCGGAGGGGCUUUCCAGCCACAUCCACAUCUGAACCUCACGGCGAGGCGAAGGCGUUGGGGAGAGGCCGAGAUGGAGAUCUGCUCACAUCCCAGAGCGCUCAGAGCGAUGACUCAAAGGAUUCCUGGCGUUACUGCACGGCGAGGUGCAGCGCGCUGCCACCGCCGCCGUCAGCACAACUGCGCUCCCUCGGACAGCUGCGAGUGCUCGCAGGUUUAUAGGGCUUAUUAGGCAAUUUCCUAUUAAAAACGUUUAUGUGAACACAUAAAUAUUCAUUUAUACAGAAA